Molecule: ribosomal RNA, 767 nt
Filed under: uncultured Granulicatella sp.
Lineage: Bacteria; Bacillati; Bacillota; Bacilli; Lactobacillales; Carnobacteriaceae
Description: bacterial SSU rRNA
Rfam family: Bacterial small subunit ribosomal RNA
Source: RNAcentral
GACGAACGCUGGCGGCGUGCCUAAUACAUGCAAGUCGAACGAGAGCGACCGGUGCUUGCACUGGUCAAUCUAGUGGCGAACGGGUGAGUAACACGUGGGUAACCUGCCCAUCAGAGGGGGAUAACAUUCGGAAACGGAUGCUAAAACCGCAUAGGUCCUUUAACCGCAUGGUUGAAGGAGGAAAAGAGGCGCAAGCUUCUGCUGAUGGAUGGACUCGCGGUGCAUUAGCUAGUUGGUGAGGUAACGGCUCACCAAGGCCGUGAUGCAUAGCCGACCUGAGAGGGUGAUCGGCCACAUUGGGACUGAGACACGGCCCAAACUCCUACGGGAGGCAGCAGUAGGGAAUCUUCCGCAAUGGACGCAAGUCUGACGGAGCAACGCCGCGUGAGUGAAGAAGGUUUUCGGAUCGUAAAACUCUGUUGUUAGAGAAGAACAAGUGCUAGAGUAACUGUUAGCGCCUUGACGGUAUCUAACCAGAAAGCCACGGCUAACUACGUGCCAGCAGCCGCGGUAAUACGUAGGUGGCAAGCGUUGUCCGGAUUUAUUGGGCGUAAAGCGAGCGCAGGCGGUUCCUUAAGUCUGAUGUGAAAGCCCCCGGCUCAACCGGGGAGGGUCAUUGGAAACUGGGGAACUUGAGUGCAGAAGAGGAGAGUGGAAUUCCAUGUGUAGCGGUGAAAUGCGUAGAUAUAUGGAGGAACACCAGUGGCGAAGGCGACUCUCUGGUCUGUAACUGACGCUGAGGCUCGAAAGCGUGGGUAGCAAACAGG